AACGUAGGUGGCGAGCGUUAUCCGGAUUUACUGGGCGUAAAGCGCGUGCAGGCGGUCUGAUAAGUCGGGCGUGAAAUCUCUCGGCUCAACCGAGAGAGGUCGUCCGAUACUGUCGGACUUGAGGGCAGUAGAGGAAGGUGGAAUUCCCGGUGUAGUGGUGAAAUGCGUAGAGAUCGGGAGGAACACCAGUGGCGAAGGCGGCCUUCUAGGCUGCCCCUGACGCUCAGACGCGAAAGCUAGGGGAGCGAACGGGAUUAGAAACCCCGGUAGUCCUAGCCGUAAACGAUGCAGACUGGGUGUCGGCGGUCUUAACCCCGCCGGUGCCGUAGCUAACGCGAUAAGUCUGCCGCCUGGGGACUACGGCCGCAAGGUUAAAACUCAAAGGAAUUGACGGGGACCCGCACAAGCAGCGGAGCGUGUGGUUUAAUUCGAUGCUACGCGAAGAACCUUACCCAGGAUUGACAUGUACGUGGUAGGGAAGCGAAAGCGGACCGACCCUUCGGGGAGCGUACACAGGUGAUGCAUGGCUGUCGUCAGCUCGUGCCGUGAGGUGUUAGGUUAAGUCCUCUAACGAGCGCAACUCUUACUGCAUGUUACAUGUGUCAUGCGGAACUGCCGGUCUCAAACCGGAGGAAGGCGAGGAUGACGUCAAGUCAGCAUGUCCUUUAUACCUGGGGCUACACACACGCUACAAUGGCCAGUACAAUAGGAUGCUAAGCCGCGAGGCGGAGCCAAACCCCUAAAGCUGGUCUCAGUUCGGAUCGCAGGCUGCAACCCGCCUGCGUGAAGUCGGAGUUGCUAGUAAAUGCAGGACAGCUAUACUGCAUUGAAUACGUUCCCGGGUCUUGUACACACCGCCCGUCACGCUAUGGAAGCUGGCAAUGCCUGAAGCCGGUGCCCCAACCGCAAGGAGGGAGCCGUCGAAGGCAGGGCUGGUAACUAGAGCG
RNAcentral lists this ribosomal RNA (947 nucleotides) under uncultured Chloroflexota bacterium. RNAcentral describes it as "bacterial SSU rRNA". It matches the Rfam family "Bacterial small subunit ribosomal RNA", at positions 524 to 1482 of the family's 1533-position model. The record is from RNAcentral. Lineage: Bacteria; Bacillati; Chloroflexota.